UGGGUAACCUGCCUCAAAGAGGGGAAUAGCCUCCCGAAAGGGAGAUUAAUACCGCAUAAUAUGUUUAAGUCGCAUGACUUUAACAUCAAAGGAUUUUCUUUUAGAAAUUCCACUUUGAGAUGGACCCGCGGCGCAUUAGCUAGUUGGUGAGGUAACGGCUCACCAAGGUAACGAUGCGUAGCCGACCUGAGAGGGUNAUCGGCCACAUUGGGACUGAGACACGGUCCAGACUCCUACGGGAGCAG
Molecule: ribosomal RNA, 245 nt
Filed under: uncultured bacterium
Lineage: Bacteria
Description: partial 16S ribosomal RNA
Rfam family: Bacterial small subunit ribosomal RNA
Source: RNAcentral